AUGCAUGUUGAUGGUAACACCAUCUCCUUUGAGCCAGCUGAGAACCAUGGCCGUUCCACCGCUCUGUUCGAGGAUGAUCUCACGGAGUUGGAGGCCAUUGGCUUCCCUCUUGAGCUCUGGCACCCUUUGGGUGUUCAUUUCGUCCUCAACUUUCUUGGUGAAAUCUUCUCCAUCGACCAGUACUGCCUCCUUUCCAAUGAGCGCACCUCCAUUAGGGAUCAUGUCGCCCUAUUCAAGGGCACCUCUCUGCCUGAUGCUCUCACUGUCCAGCUUCCUAAUCUCGACAUCCUAGUUGUCCAGCUGCACGAGCACGGGAAGGUCACCCGCAUCGGCCCAAGUGACCCUUCCCCCUUCUCCUCUGAUGGGGACUCGGACUCCGCUUUGGACUCGACUUCCGACUCGGACUCCCCCACCCCAUAUCCCUCUAUUGGCCUUCAGUGUGUUGCGGCUGCCAUGGCAACGUUUGGCCCCUUCACCGUCUCACCGGAGUUCCCCCAGGGGCCGCCUCCUUUGCCUUCAAGAAACGCUUUGCUUGCCGCUGACGCCUUUGUUGAGCUUGCCAUCAGCUCAUCUGAUGAUGAUGUCCCUCUUGCCAGGAUCGGCUUGGCUCCUCCAGUCCUUUUGGAUUCCAUCUUGUCCGAUAUCCCGGCUGAUCCUACAGAACACGAGUUGCCUCUAAUCACCUCGCCGGAUCACUACAUGCCCGACCCCGCUCCUGCACCUGCUGCUUCCGAUGGCACGGCCAUCUUGACGACGGUGCCUCACGCUGCCUCGCCGGUGGUUUACUCUUGCCGUCCAAGGGCGGUUGUGGCGCCGGCGCUGCCCUCCCUGCCGGCCUUGGAUCUGGAAGCUGAGCAUGUGGUGCACGAGGCCGUCACCAAGAAGGGACGUGCCUGCCGCAGGCGUGCCAGCUCUAUUCUGCACAUUAGGCGGAGUGCUCGGCUCGCCGAGAUGGAGCCAUACAAGAAGGAAACCAUGCAGGAUAAGGCGUCCAAGGCCAAAGCCAAGUGCAUGGAGCUGGGCAACUCUGCGCGUGAUUUCGACGAUGUUGUGAGCUCUGCUCGCCUGUACCCCGAUGAUGUUCAGCCUGGCUCCCCCCGCGCUCUCGCCGCUCUGGCCAUCGAGUGUGGCUCUUCUCCUCAUGAGGCUGAGUCUGUGGCCUCCUCUGCUGGUGCCGUGGCCAAGUGA
RNAcentral lists this ribosomal RNA (1188 nucleotides) under Triticum aestivum (bread wheat). RNAcentral's name for it is "partial small subunit ribosomal RNA". Lineage: Eukaryota; Viridiplantae; Streptophyta; Magnoliopsida; Poales; Poaceae. The record is from RNAcentral.